GCGAAAGUGGCGGAACUGGCAGACGCGCUGGACUUAGGAUCCAGUGGGGCAACUCAUAGGGGUUCGACUCCCCUCUUUCGCA
Molecule: transfer RNA, 82 nt
Filed under: Nitrospirota bacterium
Lineage: Bacteria; Pseudomonadati; Nitrospirota
Description: Nitrospirae bacterium (sediment metagenome) tRNA-Leu
Rfam family: tRNA
About the family: Transfer RNA (tRNA) molecules are approximately 80 nucleotides in length. Their secondary structure includes four short double-helical elements and three loops (D, anti-codon, and T loops).
Source: RNAcentral